ACCGGCGCACGGGUGAGUAACGCGUAUGUAAUCUGCCUUGUACAGAGGGAUAGCCCAGAGAAAUUUGGAUUAAUACCUCAUAGUAUUACCGAAUCGCAUGAUUUGGUAAUUAAAGCUCCGGCGGUACAAGAUGAACAUGCGUGACAUUAGCUAGUUGGUAAGGUAACGGCUUACCAAGGCCACGAUGUCUAGGGGUUCUGAGAGGAUGAUCCCCCACACUGGUACUGAGACACGGACCAGACUCCUACGGGAGGCAGCAGUGAGGAAUAUUGGUCAAUGGACGCAAGUCUGAACCAGCCAUCCCGCGUGAAGGAUGACUGCCCUAUGGGUUGUAAACUUCUUUUAUAUGCAAAUAAACCUACUUUCGUGAAAGUAGCUGAAGGUAGCAUAUGAAUAAACACCGGCUAACUCCGU
This 414-nucleotide ribosomal RNA is filed under the name uncultured bacterium. RNAcentral describes it as "bacterial SSU rRNA". It matches the Rfam family "Bacterial small subunit ribosomal RNA", at positions 94 to 506 of the family's 1533-position model. The record is from RNAcentral.